Molecule: ribosomal RNA, 519 nt
Filed under: Bacillus sp. (in: firmicutes)
Lineage: Bacteria; Bacillati; Bacillota; Bacilli; Caryophanales; Bacillaceae
Description: bacterial SSU rRNA
Rfam family: Bacterial small subunit ribosomal RNA
Source: RNAcentral
GCCGCGUGAGUGAUGAAGGCUUUCGGGUCGUAAAACUCUGUUGUUAGGGAAGAACAAGUACAAGAGUAACUGCUUGUACCUUGACGGUACCUAACCAGAAAGCCACGGCUAACUACGUGCCAGCAGCCGCGGUAAUACGUAGGUGGCAAGCGUUAUCCGGAAUUAUUGGGCGUAAAGCGCGCGCAGGCGGUUUCUUAAGUCUGAUGUGAAAGCCCACGGCUCAACCGUGGAGGGUCAUUGGAAACUGGGGAACUUGAGUGCAGAAGAGAAAAGCGGAAUUCCACGUGUAGCGGUGAAAUGCGUAGAGAUGUGGAGGAACACCAGUGGCGAAGGCGGCUUUUUGGUCUGUAACUGACGCUGAGGCGCGAAAGCGUGGGGAGCAAACAGGAUUAGAUACCCUGGUAGUCCACGCCGUAACGAUGAGUGCUAAGUGUUAGAGGGUUUCCGCCCUUUAGUGCUGCAGCUAACGCAUUAAGCACUCCGCCUGGGGAGUACGGUCGCAAGACUGAAACUCAAAGG